UUUUGUAUUACUUCUCUUUGUUAAAUAAUAAUUAUGAGUUCUUUCCUGAAUCUGCCCUCAUCCCUAGAUAUCUGUAGAUAUUAAUCAUAAUAGGGAGCAACAAACAAAUUAUUAUGUUUUUAGUUAUGACCUGGGAUAUGGUAAUUUUUUUUCUUCCCCAUCCCUGCCAAGGAAUUCCAGAUUUUGAAAGGAAUUCCAAAUUUGGAUAAUUUUUAGGAUGAUUUUUGUCUCAUGAAUAUACU
This 242-nucleotide long non-coding RNA is filed under the name Actinidia chinensis (golden kiwifruit). Its description in RNAcentral is "long non-coding RNA (ACHI_LNC006991)". Lineage: Eukaryota; Viridiplantae; Streptophyta; Magnoliopsida; Ericales; Actinidiaceae. The record is from RNAcentral.